ACCGACGAGCCGCGAGAUCAUGACCUGAGCCGAAGCCGGACGCUCAACCGACUGAGCCACCCCGGGGCCCCCAGACAGAACCAUUCAAUUCCGCCACCUCUACCUUCAUCGGAGAAUGGGGCCUUCAGACUCGAAGGAGUAAGAUAAACAUUGCUACAGAAGAAACUAAGACCGUGUUCAUGGGGCUGUUUGCCAUCAAGGAGACAGUGGGAAUUCAUAAGGAACACAAGAGGUGCUAAAAGAUCAAAGCUGAUGACCUCACCCCAUACUUCAUAAGAAGACUGAAGUCAAUGGAUGUAUGUAUCUUCAUCUUCCUACCUGGACACCCACUGAUCUACCUGCACUCAGACCCAUCUUGUCUUUGCAGCCUGCAUCUGGUGAACAACACGCCUCUUCCUCUCUGCGCUAGUCCACGGUUGCCAGGGACCUACUGAGCAUUUUAAGAAAUGAAGAUGGGCAAUGCACUGCCCAUGACUGCCCUGUUGCAUUCCCUCUGUGGAAAGAUAGAUGAAUACCAGGCAUCCCAGCAUGGGGGAUAGAUCUGGGAACCACUAGGACCCCAGGAUCUUUGUCAUAAGUCUUCCUUCCCCCCUCUCUAGAAGGUUGGGAAUAUUACCUUCAGCUGUGGGGAGAAGGAGAAGAGAAAUGUCUCGCCAGUACCGUAGAAGCCUUUGCUGAGUCGAAUAGCCGAGGAGGAGAAGGCCCCAAACAUCUGGAAAGCAGAAGAACUUGAAGUUGCAGCUGGAAGGGAGUGGAGGUCCUCUGGCAACUCCACUCUCCAGGCGUAGUAACAUAGCCUCAUCCUAGUAGGGCCCCUGGGAAGCCUGGGACAGAGUCGGGGGGAUCGGGAGGGCCCCAGGCCCAUCAAUGUGUGUCCUUUCCCUUAACACUCCCCAAGGAAGAGCCCUGGCUGGUGUCCUCCUACUUUUCCUUAAAUGUACUUAUUUUGUAUAAGUAAUUCUUGUAGAAAAUUAUUAGAAGUUACAGACAAGCAGAAAGAAAAGAUAAAGCCAUCCCCAAUCCCCCUCUGCUCCCCAAGAUAACGAUUGACAUUUUUGUGCCUUUCCUCCCAGUGUCUGUUUAAUGCCAGUGUACGUAUUCUUAUAUAGAAAACCAGAUCCUAUAGUACAUCUGGCUUUCUUUUUUUAAGUUUUGUUUAUUUAGGUAAUUUCUACACCCAAAGUGUAGGGCUUGAACUCACGACCCUGAGAUCAAGAGUCAGAUGUUCUUUCAAAUGAGCCAACCAGGAGCCCUGUACUGGUUUGUAAGCUGCUUCCCCCCUUCACUUGUCUUUCUAAAGUUCAAAAUCCUAAGAAGUAAAAGCCAGACACAGAUAUCUGAGGAUAUAGAACUGUAAAAUGUGUUUGCCAUAUUUGCUUUCUCUCUCCUUUUAUUUUUUGGUGUCCUCUUGAAUUUGCAGGUAUUAUAAUGUUUUACCCCUAAAUAGUUCAGCUCCAAGAAUGGGGACUUUCUCGUGUAUAACCACAAUGCUAUCAUUUCACCUAAGAAAAUUAAGAGCAAUUUCAUAAUAUUAUCUAGUAUCCAGUUCAUAAUACACUUUUUCCACUGGUCCAAGAGUACCUUUCAUAGCCUACUUUAAAAAAAAAAAAAAAA
This is a long non-coding RNA of Suricata suricatta (meerkat), 1614 nucleotides long. RefSeq lists it as uncharacterized. The transcript is spliced from 2 exons. Lineage: Eukaryota; Metazoa; Chordata; Mammalia; Carnivora; Herpestidae. The record is from RefSeq and is a predicted model, not a curated record.